RNAcentral lists this ribosomal RNA (639 nucleotides) under uncultured Actinomycetes bacterium. Its description in RNAcentral is "bacterial SSU rRNA". It matches the Rfam family "Bacterial small subunit ribosomal RNA", at positions 232 to 885 of the family's 1533-position model. Lineage: Bacteria; Bacillati; Actinomycetota; Actinomycetes. The record is from RNAcentral.
CGCGGCCUAUCAGCUUGUUGGUGAGGUAACGGCUCACCAAGGCAUCGACGGGUAGCUGGUCUGAGAGGACGAUCAGCCACACUGGGACUGAGACACGGCCCAGACUCCUACGGGAGGCAGCAGUAGGGAAUCUUGCGCAAUGGGCGAAAGCCUGACGCAGCAACGCCGCGUGGGGGAUGAAUGCCUUCGGGCUGUAAACCCCUUUCAGCAGGGACGAAAAUGACGGUACCUGCAGAAGAAGCUCCGGCCAACUACGUGCCAGCAGCCGCGGUAAUACGUAGGGAGCGAGCGUUGUCCGGAAUUAUUGGGCGUAAAGAGCUCGUAGGCGGUUCAGUAAGUCGGGUGUGAAAACUCAAGGCUCAACCUUGAGACGCCACUCGAUACUGCUGUGACUUGAGUCCGGUAGAGGAGUGUGGAAUUCCUGGUGUAGCGGUGAAAUGCGCAGAUAUCAGGAGGAACACCGGCGGCGAAGGCGGCACUCUGGGCCGGUACUGACGCUGAGGAGCGAAAGCAUGGGGAGCAAACAGGAUUAGAUACCCUGGUAGUCCAUGCCGUAAACGUUGGGCACUAGGUAUGGGAUCAUAUCAACGGAUUCCGUGCCGUAGCUAACGCAUUAAGUGCCCCGCCUGGGGAGUACGG